Molecule: ribosomal RNA, 433 nt
Filed under: uncultured bacterium
Lineage: Bacteria
Description: partial 16S ribosomal RNA
Rfam family: Bacterial small subunit ribosomal RNA
Source: RNAcentral
AACGAACGCUGGCGGCAUGCCUAACACAUGCAAGUCGAACGAGACCUUCGGGUCUAGUGGCGCACGGGUGCGUAACGCGUGGGAACCUGCCCUUAGGUUCGGAAUAACUCCCCGAAAGGGGUGCUAAUACCGGAUAAUGUCUUCGGACCAAAGAUUUAUCGCCUUUGGGUGGGCCCGCGUUGGAUUAGCUAGUUGGUAGGGUAAAAGCCUACCAAGGCGACGAUCCAUAGCUGGUCUGAGAGGAUGAUCAGCCACACUGGGACUGAGACACGGCCCAGACUCCUACGGGAGGCAGCAGUGGGGAAUAUUGGACAAUGGGCGAAAGCCUGAUCCAGCAAUGCCGCGUGAGUGAUGAAGGCCUUAGGGUUGUAAAGCUCUUUUACCCGGGAUGAUAAUGACAGUACCGGGAGAAUAAGCUCCGUCUAACUCCGUG